UGAGUAAUGCUUAGGAAUCUGCCUAUUAGUGGGGGACAACAUUCCGAAAGGAAUGCUAAUACCGCAUACGCCCUACGGGGGAAAGCAGGGGAUCUUCGGACCUUGCGCUAAUAGAUGAGCCUAAGUCAGAUUAGCUAGUUGGUGGGGUAAAGGCCUACCAAGGCGACGAUCUGUAGCGGGUCUGAGAGGAUGAUCCGCCACACUGGGACUGAGACACGGCCCAGACUCCUACGGGAGGCAGCAGUGGGGAAUAUUGGACAAUGGGCGAAAGCCUGAUCCAGCCAUGCCGCGUGUGUGAAGAAGGCCUUUUGGUUGUAAAGCACUUUAAGCGAGGAGGAGGCUACUUGGAUUAAUACUCUAGGAUAGUGGACGUUACUCGCAGAAUAAGCACCGGCUAACUCUGUGCCAGCAGCCGCGGUAAUACAGAGGGUGCGAGCGUUAAUCGGAUUUACUGGGCGUAAAGCGUGCGUAGGCGGCUUUUUAAGUCGGAUGUGAAAUCCCUGAGCUUAACUUAGGAAUUGCAUUCGAUACUGGGAAGCUAGAGUAUGGGAGAGGAUGGUAGAAUUCCAGGUGUAGCGGUGAAAUGCGUAGAGAUCUGGAGGAAUACCGAUGGCGAAGGCA
RNAcentral lists this ribosomal RNA (621 nucleotides) under Acinetobacter johnsonii. RNAcentral's name for it is "bacterial SSU rRNA". It matches the Rfam family "Bacterial small subunit ribosomal RNA", at positions 107 to 723 of the family's 1533-position model. Lineage: Bacteria; Pseudomonadati; Pseudomonadota; Gammaproteobacteria; Moraxellales; Moraxellaceae. The record is from RNAcentral.